Molecule: transfer RNA, 63 nt
Filed under: Varanus dumerilii (Dumeril monitor)
Lineage: Eukaryota; Metazoa; Chordata; Lepidosauria; Squamata; Varanidae
Description: tRNA-Tyr
Rfam family: tRNA
About the family: Transfer RNA (tRNA) molecules are approximately 80 nucleotides in length. Their secondary structure includes four short double-helical elements and three loops (D, anti-codon, and T loops).
Source: RNAcentral
GGUAAGGUGGCUGAGUAGGCGGUAGACUGUAAAUCUAUUUACGAGGAGUUACCUCUCUUAUCA